This 274-nucleotide ribosomal RNA is filed under the name uncultured bacterium. RNAcentral describes it as "partial 16S ribosomal RNA". It matches the Rfam family "Bacterial small subunit ribosomal RNA", at positions 523 to 796 of the family's 1533-position model. The record is from RNAcentral.
AUACGGAGGGUGCAAGCGUUAUCCGGAUUUAUUGGGUUUAAAGGGUGCGCAGGCGGACCUGUCAGUCAGUGGUGAAAUCCCGGGGCUCAACCCCGGAACUGCCAUUGAUACUACAGGUCUUGAAUACGGUUGAAGUAGGCGGAAUGUAGCGUGUAGCGGUGAAAUGCAUAGAUAUGCUACAGAACACCGAUCGCGAAGGCAGCUUACUAAGCCGAUAUUGACGCUCAGGCACGAAAGCGUGGGGAGCGAACAGGAUUAGAUACCCUAGUAGUCC